GACGAACGCUGGCGGCGUGCUUAACACAUGCAAGUCGAACGGAAAGGCCCUGCUUUUGUGGGGUGCUCGAGUGGCGAACGGGUGAGUAACACGUGAGUAACCUGCCCUUGACUUUGGGAUAACUUCAGGAAACUGGGGCUAAUACCGGAUAGGAGCUCCUGCUGCAUGGUGGGGGUUGGAAAGUUUCGGCGGUUGGGGAUGGACUCGCGGCUUAUCAGCUUGUUGGUGGGGUAGUGGCUUACCAAGGCUUUGACGGGUAGCCGGCCUGAGAGGGUGACCGGCCACAUUGGGACUGAGAUACGGCCCAGACGCCUACGGGAGGCAGCAGUGGGGAAUAUUGCACAAUGGGCGGAAGCCUGAUGCAGCAACGCCGCGUGCGGGAUGACGGCCUUCGGGUGGUAAACCGCUUUCGCCUGUGACGAAGCGUGAGUGACGGUAAUGGGUAAAGAGGCACCGGCUAACUACGU
This 467-nucleotide ribosomal RNA is filed under the name uncultured bacterium. RNAcentral describes it as "partial 16S ribosomal RNA". It matches the Rfam family "Bacterial small subunit ribosomal RNA", at positions 28 to 506 of the family's 1533-position model. The record is from RNAcentral.